UUGAUUUUAUUUGGUCAGCCACAACAGUUUUUUGACGAGCCUUCAAGCGAAGACGAUCUCAAGUUUUAAGCGCGAGCAAGUGUCGUAUACGGUUUGGCUAAGAAAAGCUGCACGAGUACUAGAAAUCUAAUACAAAAACAAUCCUUGAAAUCAUGAAGACUUCAAUCCUGUUGUUCGCUGCCGCAGUUGUGGCCACACUCUCAUUCAUUGGCAGCGUCGAUGCACAACGCGGUUUGCCGCUACCACAGGCGCGCGGCUACGAAGCCAACGCCGUUAUUCUGAAGCAGGGCUUCGAUCUGAAUCCCGAUGGCUCGUACACAUACAACUAUGAGACAAGUAACGGCAUACGCGCUGACGAGGCGGGCUACUUGAAGAAUCCGGGUACACAAGUGGAGGCGCAGGUGAUGCAAGGCUCUUACUCGUACACCGGUCCCGACGGCGUCGUCUACACAAUCAAUUACAUCGCCGAUGAGAACGGUUAUCGCGCUGAGGGCGCACACAUACCAACACCACCACCACCACGCGCUGGUGGCAGGUUCUUCAAAUAAGUUCACAAAGCACGAAGAACCAAUCCUUAACUUAAUAACAUCAUUACUUACAUACAUACGUACGAGUUCAUACAACCUUAAAACACACCUAACUUAAAACCGGAAGCAACAACACAACGUACAUGAAUAACGAAGAAGAAGAAAGACGCAAAGAAAUGCAGCAACUACACUAAAAAAACGGCAAACAGUGGCAACACCGAGCAGCAGAGCUUAGCUAUGGACGAGGCUACUGAUGAGCUUAGACCUACAUAUCUAUAUACAACUUAUAUGGUGUAUGAGGACUGUGGCCUGUUACUGUUGUUGAGAUCUACUGAAGUGACCUCGUGUGCAGAACCUUUCUUAUGACCACACACACACUUUCUUUCUAGAAACAAGCACGCACAGCUAUAUUCUUAUUCGUUUAACUUCUAACACUUUUUUAUACUUUUAUCUAACAAAUUAAUCGAAAAUUUAUCGAUAAUUAAUCUAUUUCUAUCUAACUUAUUAAUCGAUAAGUUAAUCGCUAACAUGGUUUGUGAUUUCGUAAACUCCUAUUUAAACUUUUCUAACCUCACUUUCGCACUCUCAACUUAUUCCUUAUGUCCACAUUCCGUCCUUUCGCGCGGUACCAACUACCGAUGCGGCGGCGUGUGUUGGCAAUAUCCACGUAGUUUCCACUUAACCCUUAAACGCCAGCUCACACCGUUCCGUGAAGACAGUUAGAAUACCUACUCAUGUACCUUAUCUCCAGAAACAUACAUACAUACAUAACGAUUAUAUGUUUGGUAAUUUAAAAUGCUAUUUUAUAUAUAUAUUUUUUUGUUGUAGUAUUUAAGCAAUUUAUGUAUUUUGAAUAUUUACGAAUAUUUGCUAAAAACGUGAGUGAUUACAACGAAUUUUCGAUUUCUUGUAAGUACAGCAAUCAGGCAAUAAAUAAAUUGCGUAAAAACUCA
This 1480-nucleotide unclassified non-coding RNA is filed under the name Bactrocera tryoni. RNAcentral describes it as "endocuticle structural glycoprotein SgAbd-2, transcript variant X2". Lineage: Eukaryota; Metazoa; Arthropoda; Insecta; Diptera; Tephritidae. The record is from RNAcentral.